UGAGUCAGACAGAGUCUUAACAUGUGUUACGAAGUCCUAGAUCAAUCGGGUAGGGUAACGAAUUAGUGAUCGGGGGUUAAAAUACUUACAACGAGGUAGAGCUUCGUGUUUUAGGGGUAUUAUACGGAGGUGCAUUGCUAUAAUAGGGGCUUUAGAGAAAAGAAUUGAACGACUGAGACUGAGGCCGAAGGCCUCCUUUUAUAGGCCGGAAACUGGUUCCCUCGCGCCCCGCGACCCAUCACUUUCUCGCGGCCCGCGAGCCAGACCUAGCUACGGCUAGGUCUGGUUAGUCACCAACCUAGCUUAGCCAAGUGUCGUGCCACGUUGCACGUUGUGGUUUCGUCAGGUGCUACUUGGUCGCGACCCGCGAACCAACCCCCUGCCUUAGUCGUGGCCCGCGAGCAACCCUAUGUAUUUGUUUUAUUUGAUUUUUAUAAAAAUUAAGGUUAUACGGGUGUAAUUUAGCGUAUACAGGGUAUGUUUAGGGCGUUAGGGGUGUUUUAUGAGGGUUGUUAUACGUGGGUUCAUGCGCGUAUGUGUAGAAACGGUGCGUUCGCACCUUCGUAUCGGUGCUCGGUGCUGGCUCGCACAUCUCUCGUAGCAACUUCCAAACUUCAAUAACAAAGUAGUUUUGGAUCUGCAGUUGAUACAGAUGAGUCAAUAGCAUUUACCGAGAAUCAAAAGGAUGAGUUAAAAUGUCUGAACAUGUAGUAUAAAUACUAGGUGAAACCUGGUUACAACAGAACCAACAUCACAUGCAAACUAUACUCUGUUACUUUCUGAUCGUUCUCCUACUUGUCUCAAGGUAUUAUUUGGGUCCUUGCGCCAAUCCCGCCGGUACACACUACUUUGGCUGUUGUACCAUAGGAAACAACAUGAAUUCUUAGUAGAGACUAGGAAUUUGUUUUAAGGGUCAUGUGUCAAACACAACCCUCAGUCACCAGACCUUUCUGCUAAUCCAAUUUUCUUGUAUUCUGGUUUAUUUUAGUUGUAUCCGUAUUUUACUAUUUUCUUUAGAGUGAAUUACAAGUUUUGUCCUUUAUCUU
Molecule: long non-coding RNA, 1046 nt
Filed under: Helianthus annuus (common sunflower)
Lineage: Eukaryota; Viridiplantae; Streptophyta; Magnoliopsida; Asterales; Asteraceae
Description: hypothetical non coding rna
Source: RNAcentral